This 244-nucleotide ribosomal RNA is filed under the name uncultured bacterium. Its description in RNAcentral is "partial 16S ribosomal RNA". It matches the Rfam family "Bacterial small subunit ribosomal RNA", at positions 91 to 334 of the family's 1533-position model. The record is from RNAcentral.
UUUAGCGGCGAACGGUCGAGUAACACGUAACCAACCUGCCCUUAGGUCUGGGAUAGCCCUUCGAAAGAGGGAGUAAUACCGGAUAGCCUCACGGAGAGACAUCUUUUUGUGAGUAAAGGCUAGUACGCCAAAGGAGGGGGUUGCGUCCUAUCAGCUGGUUGGCGGGGUAACGGCCCACCAAGGCGACGACGGGUAGCUGGUCUGAGAGGAUGAUCAGCCGGAUUGGGACUGAGACACGGCCCAA